CCCUUAGAUGUUCUGGGCCGCACGCGCGCUACACUGACUACUUCAACGAGUUUUGACGUUGAUCGAAAGGUCUGCGUAAUCUUUGAAAGGUAGUCGUGAUGGGGAUAGAUCCUUGCAAUUUUUGAUCUUCAACGAGGAAUUCCUAGUAAACGCAAGUCAUCAGCUUGCAUUGAUUACGUCCCUGCCCUUUGUACACACCGCCCGUCGCACCUACCGAUUGAAUGGUCCGGUGAAUCUUUAGGACUGUGGCUGUAGCCUUGCUUCGGCGGGCUUGGCCGUGGGAAUUUAGUUAAACCUUACCAUUUAGAGGAAGGUGAAGUCGUAACA
RNAcentral lists this ribosomal RNA (327 nucleotides) under uncultured eukaryote. Its description in RNAcentral is "partial 18S ribosomal RNA". It matches the Rfam family "Eukaryotic small subunit ribosomal RNA", at positions 1470 to 1796 of the family's 1831-position model. The record is from RNAcentral.